CUCUACUGCUCCACCAUGCACCCACCGCCCCUCUGGAUCAGGUGCAGGCCGGCCGGUGCGCGCAGGCGGCGGCGCUCCACUCGAGGGCAAAGGGAGGCAACGGCGACGGUGGCCGCCGUGGACACCCGCGGCUAUGACGAACCCCGCCGCCAGGAGGCCGCCACGGAGGCCCAUCCCGAGCUCGGCUUGCCGCUCCUCUUGUGACCCUCGUUGCACCUAGAUCCGGGUCGGGCGGAUCCGACGGAGGAGCCCUCCCAUGGCACCGGCGGCUCUGGAGAUGAGGGCUGCACAGAGGAAGAGGAGCAGCAGCAGCUCGAGGUCCAACUAGCGGCUGUGGCCACGUCUCCUUUUUUGCGCAGCGUGGGGAGAGAUAAGUCCCGAGUGCCCCAUCUCGCCUCUCGCCUUUCCAGUUUCCCCUCGCCUCCGCCAUCGCCUCCUCCCCUCUCCUCUCUCUCCCGUCUCCUCCCCACCCUCUACUGCUCCACCACACACCCACCACCCCUCUGGAUCAGGUGCAGGCCGGCCGGUGCGCGCAGGAGGCGGCACUCCACUCGAGGGCAAAGGGAGGCAACGGCGGCGGUGGCCGCCGUGGACACCCGCGGCUAUGACGAACCCUGCCGCCAGGAGGCCGCCACGGAGGCCCGUCCCGAGCUCGGCUCGCCGAUCCUCCGGUGACCCUCGUUGCACCUAGAUCCGGGUCGGGCGGAUCCGACGGAGGAGCCCUCCCAUGGCACCGGCGGCUCUGGAGAUGAGGGUUGCACAGAGGAAGAGGAGCAGCAGCAGCUCGAGGUCAUUAAGGGAGGAGGCCACAGUCGUCUUACCGCCGCUGCCGAACAGUGAGCGAGAGAAACAACGAUGGUGAGGUCCCCUGCAUCGAUGAGUAGUCGCAGGGAGUCGUCGCCAAGUGCUCCGUCCGCAUCGCCGGAAACAUGCUGCGUGCUCGAGAACGCACGAGUGCCACCACACGUCGCCCACACCCCCUCCUCCGCUCGCUCUCGUCUCCGUCAGGCUGCUGAUGUUCACUGCACUGGAGGGAGAGGACAAGAGUAAGAGAGCAAGAACAAUAGAUGAUUCGGUUAUUUGUGAAACUGACAGCUCUUGUGAGGAGCAAGGAUAGAGAAGGCUAUGAACCAAUGAGAUAAGUUUUAUUUCCAGUUUUUCAAUGAGGAUAUGCCAUAUGUUUAGCUGCUAAUAUUUACAUAUGGUGUACGUAAUAAGUUGUCUUGCUGGCUCUUUAUGUGUAUCGUUUGAAAAAAUUGCGGCACAUGAACAUCAUCUUUAUCCAAAUAUCUUCAGAUAUAACUGACAUCCCAGCAGCGCGUGGGAGCCGGUGUCUUCGGCCAGAGCUGGGUCUCCUUGCCGGCGACCUUGCCAUCACCAGCCUAUCUGCAGUUUUGCAGGGAUGGACAUAUGGAUUGAAUGGUACCCUCCUGAAAUCUACACAGAUGUCAGAUCGGAGAAAGAAGAGAUGAAGAACAAUUUUAAUUGAAGAGUUGAAGAAGACUAAGCACGAGUCCCCCUGAAGUGCUUGACCACCGGCCGGUUGCAGUGGAGGUCAGCAUCACCUCGCUGUGGCCAUCCUGGGCGCCGAGAGAAUUAGCUGAAAAUUCUUGCUGAGAUCCAGGUCACGGGCCAUCCCCAUUCAGGUGGCUAUGAAACUUGUUCCUAACGAAGAUAAAUUUAUGGAGGUGGCUAGGGGAACAGGAGGAGCAAGUUUAGCCUGGCAGGUGCUUCUCAGGUUCGAUGGCUUCCAACAAGGGAGCGAUAUCCAUGCUCUGCAUCAAGGUCGUAGUGCUUUCUUCAUGGGUUCGGCCUUUGCCAUUAAGGUGAGGAAUGUGUAUUUCUGUUCUAUCUAAUGUCUCUUGCUCCUGCUUCAGUAUCGAUGAUCUCUCUGGACUGAUUGUUUGACAAUGACUGUCAUGUACUCCCUCCAUUCCUAUAUAUAAGUCUUUUAUAGAUUCCAAUGCGGACUACAAAGACGAAACUGACUUUUAUGAUCUGUUCUACACAGAUGUUUUCAAUCGCUGUUUGCUAUGGAUACUUUUUUGGUUGCAUAGGCAUACAUGGUUCCGUGAGGAGAUUACCUAUACUGUUCUGUUUUAUAGAUGCCUAAUUAGCUGCGAAGUCAUAUAUGGUCUUAUUAGUAGUUUUUUGAGUUGUGGGUUUACGCAUUUUCCUUGGGAAUGUUUGUAUGUGUGAUCACUUGCUUGCUAUAAGUUUUUUACUCCGCACCAGGUGAUCAAUUAGUGUUUCCAAUUAGUUUGGCAUAUAUUAUCACGUAAAGCCUGUCAGUGAAAUAGGGUUAUAUUUUUACUCCGCACCGGGUGAUCAAUUAGUGUUUGCAAUUAGUUUGGCAUGUAUUAUCACGUAAAGCCUGUCAGUGAAAUAGGGUUAUACAAAAACUAUCUUCGAAUAAUAAUAAUAAUAAUAAUAAUAUUAUUAUUAUUAUUAUUAUUAUUAUUAUUAAAGUGGAUCCUUGUAAUUCUGCUUUACGUCCGUAAAAUAUCCUAGCCGGGUCUGCAAGAUUGUGCCCUCUUUUUACUGAGGGCUUGAAAGUGGUAGAGAAGAUUAAAAGAAGAAGCAUAUCUCCUUUUUUUUGUGCUUCUGCCCGCGCCCUGUAUAUGAUGUUGCAGAUCAAAAUAUAGAUGUUGUCAAUCGGAUAAGAAAAGGCAAGGAGCUGUCCGAUUCAGUAUGUAGUAAUGGGCAUCCAUGUUUUCUUAUACCGGUGAUUCUGAAGCAGUUAAAUUGAUAUGAUCACUUCACUCGUCUCCUAUACUCCUUUAGUCCAUUAUUCCUAGACCAUAUGUUUUUCUUUUGUUAAAACCUUGAAGUUUUAAGUUGUUAGGGUAAAUUCUCUCACAAAUUAUAUGACGUGUUCCUUAAAAAUAGUGUGCUACUACGUUAGUGGAUCACUUGUUUAAGUUCUAGCAGUACCAAGUGUCGUGGAAUUGUCACGGCAGAUGUCCUCGUGGAAGGACUUAGUCGUAGGGCCAUCGCAACUAGGAAGCUUGAAGGGGUUAAAACGGGACAAAGGACACGAGGGUUAUACUGGUUCGGCCCCUUACGGUGAAGGUAAAAGCCUACUCCGGUUGAGGUGGAAUUAUUAGGGUUUCGAUGACCAGGGAGCUAAAUCGCUAUGCCUGGUUAUCGAUCUAUGGUUACUUGUCCUGAACCGCCGCUGGGUCGUCCCUUUAUAUACAGAGGAUAACGCCCAGCGGCUCUCAGAGUCCCGGCCGGCUCAUAAACAGUGUCCGGCUCGUUCUCUUAACUAU
This is a long non-coding RNA of Triticum aestivum (bread wheat), 3272 nucleotides long. RefSeq lists it as uncharacterized. The record is from RefSeq and is a predicted model, not a curated record. Lineage: Eukaryota; Viridiplantae; Streptophyta; Magnoliopsida; Poales; Poaceae. The transcript has 9 exons.